RNAcentral lists this transfer RNA (70 nucleotides) under Pomacea insularum. Its description in RNAcentral is "tRNA-Val". Lineage: Eukaryota; Metazoa; Mollusca; Gastropoda; Architaenioglossa; Ampullariidae. The record is from RNAcentral.
GUAAGACAUAGCAUAGUUAUAAUGCAUUUCAUUUACACUGAAAACAGGCUUAAAAUAAGAGCUGUCUUAA